GCCCGCUCAGAAACUCAAAGGAAUUGACGGGCCGCACAAGCGGUGGAGCAUGUGGUUAAUUCGAAGCAACGCGAAGAACCUUACCAGGCCUUGACAUGCAGAGAACUUUCCAGAGAUGGAUUGGUGCCUUCGGGAACUCUGACACAGGUGCUGCAUGGCUGUCGUCAGCCCGUGUCGUGAGAUGUUGGGUUAAGUCCCGUAACGAGCGCAACCCUUGUCCUUAGCUACCAGCACGUUAUGGUGGGCACUCUAAGGAGACUGCCGGUGACAAACCGGAGGAAGGUGGGGAUGACGUCAAGUCAUCAUGGCCCUUACGGCCUGGGCUACACACGUGCUACAAUGGUCGGUACAAAGGGUUGCCAAGCCGCGAGGUGGAGCUAAUCCCAUAAAACCGAUCGUAGUCCGGAUCGCAGUCUGCAACUCGACUGCGUGAAGUCGGAAUCGCUAGUAAUCGUGAAUCAGAAUGUCACGGUGAAUACGUUCCCGGGCCUU
Molecule: ribosomal RNA, 492 nt
Filed under: uncultured Pseudomonas sp.
Lineage: Bacteria; Pseudomonadati; Pseudomonadota; Gammaproteobacteria; Pseudomonadales; Pseudomonadaceae
Description: bacterial SSU rRNA
Rfam family: Bacterial small subunit ribosomal RNA
Source: RNAcentral